GUUAAUGUAGCUUAAACCAAAGCAAAGCACUGAAAAUGCUUAGAUGAGUAUCUUAUACUCCAUAAACA
RNAcentral lists this transfer RNA (68 nucleotides) under Megaloglossus azagnyi. Its description in RNAcentral is "tRNA-Phe". It matches the Rfam family "tRNA". From Rfam's summary of the family: Transfer RNA (tRNA) molecules are approximately 80 nucleotides in length. Their secondary structure includes four short double-helical elements and three loops (D, anti-codon, and T loops). Further hydrogen bonds mediate the characteristic L-shaped molecular structure. tRNAs have two regions of fundamental functional importance: the anti-codon, which is responsible for specific mRNA codon recognition, and the 3' end, to which the tRNAs corresponding amino acid is attached (by aminoacyl-tRNA synthetases). tRNAs cope with the degeneracy of the genetic code in two manners: having more than one tRNA (with a specific anti-codon) for a particular amino acid; and 'wobble' base-pairing, i.e. permitting non-standard base-pairing at the 3rd anti-codon position. The record is from RNAcentral. Lineage: Eukaryota; Metazoa; Chordata; Mammalia; Chiroptera; Pteropodidae.